AUCACCUCCUUUUGAGCAAAGACAGCAUCGUCCUGUCGGGCGUCUUCACAAAGUACCUGCAUUCAGAGAUUUGCAUCGGCCAGGCCGGUGUGAGAUGUCCCUUUCUGGGGCCUUAGCUCAGCUGGGAGAGCACCUGCUUUGCAAGCAGGGGGUCGUCGGUUCGAUCCCGACAGGCUCCACCAGGGAGAUUAAGAAACAAGCUCCGGGUCUGUAGCUCAGGUGGUUAGAGCGCACCCCUGAUAAGGGUGAGGUCGGUGGUUCGAGUCCUCCCAGACCCACCAUUCUCUGAAUGACGCAUACAUUCGAUCUUUAUACGCAUCAGCACUGUGGCUGGUACGUGUUCUUUUAAAACUUGUGACGUAGCGAGCGUUUGAGAUGUUCUAUCAGACGUGUCGUGAGGCUAAGGCGAGAGACGCAAGUCUCUUUAUUGAUUGAGUCGUUAUAUUCGUAUCCGGGCUUUGUACCCCCGGGUCAUGUAUAACCCGAGGCAACU
Molecule: unclassified non-coding RNA, 493 nt
Filed under: Xanthomonas sp. GP110
Lineage: Bacteria; Pseudomonadati; Pseudomonadota; Gammaproteobacteria; Lysobacterales; Lysobacteraceae
Description: partial 16S-23S ribosomal RNA intergenic spacer
Rfam family: tRNA (bases 205-278)
Source: RNAcentral